RNAcentral lists this transfer RNA (65 nucleotides) under Bombus pyrosoma. Its description in RNAcentral is "tRNA-Phe". Lineage: Eukaryota; Metazoa; Arthropoda; Insecta; Hymenoptera; Apidae. The record is from RNAcentral.
AUUUAAAUAGCUUAUAAUUAGAGUAUAAUAUUGAAAAUAUUAUGGAAAUAAUUCAUUUUUAAAUA